GCCGGGCGUAGUGACGUGCGCCUGUAGUCCCAGAUACUUGGGAGGCUGAGGCAGGAGAAUGGCAUGAACCUGGGAGGCGGAGCUUGCAGUGAGCCGAGAUUGCGCCACUGCACUCCAGCCCGGGUGACAGAGCCAGAUCCCGUCUCAA
RNAcentral lists this non-coding RNA (148 nucleotides) under Pan troglodytes (chimpanzee). Lineage: Eukaryota; Metazoa; Chordata; Mammalia; Primates; Hominidae. The record is from Rfam by way of RNAcentral.